UGGGGAAUUUUGGACAAUGGGCGCAAGCCUGAUCCAGCCAUGCCGCGUGCGGGAAGAAGGCCUUCGGGUUGUAAACCGCUUUUGUCAGGGAAGAAAUCUUCUGAGUUAAUACCUCGGGAGGAUGACGGUACCUGAAGAAUAAGCACCGGCUAACUACGUGCCAGCAGCCGCGGUAAUACGUAGGGUGCAAGCGUUAAUCGGAAUUNCUGGGCGUAAAGCGUGCGCAAGGCGGUUUUGUAAGACAGAGGUGAAAUCCCCGGGCUCAACCUGGGAACUGCCUUUGUGACUGCAAGGCUUGAGUGCGGCAGAGGGGGGAUGGAAUUCCGCGUGUAGCAGUGAAAUGCGUAGAUAUGCGGAGGAACACCGAUGGCGAAGGCAACCCCGUGGGCCUGCACUGACGCUCAUGCACGAAAGCGUGGGGAGCAAAACAGGAUUAGAUACCCUGGUAGUCCACGCCCUAAAACGAUGUCAACUGG
Molecule: ribosomal RNA, 476 nt
Filed under: uncultured bacterium
Lineage: Bacteria
Description: partial 16S ribosomal RNA
Rfam family: Bacterial small subunit ribosomal RNA
Source: RNAcentral